Molecule: long non-coding RNA, 624 nt
Filed under: Helianthus annuus (common sunflower)
Lineage: Eukaryota; Viridiplantae; Streptophyta; Magnoliopsida; Asterales; Asteraceae
Description: hypothetical non coding rna
Source: RNAcentral
AUGUGUUUUAUGAAAAACUGGACUUUGUAGCAAGCUCUUAGUAAUCUUCAUUUUGUUAUUUGUGGUUUUUGAUGUGUUUUAUGGUUGACAUUUUAUUGUUUUAUAACUUUUUACACUUUUUAGAAAAUUUGGACUUUGUAGCAAGCUCUUAGUAAUCUUCAUUUUGUUAUUUGUGGUUUUUGGAUGUGUUUUAUGGUUGACAUUUUGGUGUUUUAUAACUUUUUACACUUUUUAAAAAAUUUGGACUUUGUAGCAAACUCCUAGCCUAUAGGGCGUGUUCUAAAGUGAACAUUAGUGUAUUUGUGAACUGAGUGAACAAAUCCUGACCAUUGACUUACAUCAUUAAAUCGUAAAAUACAGUUGUAACGCCCUGCGUUUUCAAACAUCCUACAUUUAGAAACCUUACGUGAAAUUCUAUCUUUGGAAAUCUUGUGUUCUUAUAACCAUUCUUUCAUCGUAAUCGUUGUAAAAUACGGAACUUGCUUCGUAAAUAAAACUUGUACAUUACACUUUUUACCUAGUUAAAUCAUGUUUUAUUUCAUAUUUCACCUUGUUACAAGUUAGGAGAAACAUUGUUGCACAUUAUUACACAACUUAACUAACAAAAUUACUCAUUAUAAUGUU